Schizosaccharomyces pombe (fission yeast) is the source of this 821-nucleotide non-coding RNA. The record is from the annotation of a GenBank genome assembly. Lineage: Eukaryota; Fungi; Ascomycota; Schizosaccharomycetes; Schizosaccharomycetales; Schizosaccharomycetaceae.
UUGAAACUAUCGUGUAAACAGUUUCUCAAAUGAAUUAAAAAUAAAAUAGGUGUAGGUUAAGAUUAAAUGGUUACGUUGGGAAUCGAAUACCCAUAACAGGUAGUCAUAUUAAUUAAGGCGUGUGUAGAGAGGAAUCUACUAAAGCGAAAGAAAAAUACAAUGUUAAAAGGAAUGAAUAUUAAUUAGAUAGUGUACAGUUAUUAUUCCUAUGAUUCAUCAAACCAUUUAGUCAAUUCUUCUGAUAAUUCGUCAAAUUCGUUUUUCCAGUAUAGUAAGCUAGAACCAGAUUCUUCAUAAACAUCACGUACAAUGUAACCGUCCAUCUCAGCUUGAUAAAGUCUUUCUAACGUUACACCAAUGGACCAAUGCAACCUCAUUGCACAUUUCAAAGCCGUAGUGCUAGGAUUCAUAACUUCCAAUAUAGCGGACAAAAGUUUUCCUGAAUGAUUAGAAGUUUUUAAUUGAAAAAGGAUAAGCCCAGAGUUCAUUUUGGACGUUGUUAUACCAACCUCCAUGGAAUCUAUUAGUUCACAAGCCUUCACAAAUCUGGUCGGAGGAAUCAGGUUUGCUUUUCUUGACCGAUUAUAGAUGGCCCAAGCCUGGGUCAUGGUAACCGUAUCGGUAUCAGCUUUUAACCUUGUGCGUAAAACUUCUGAGAUACUUUUACAUAGUUCAAUAUCAUACAAUCGAGAAUUAGCCGAAACAGGAACAUUAUCUAAAUGAUUUCCUCGUAACACUCCUAACUGAUUCGAUUUGUUUAAAAGCUGCUGUACCUUGUCAGACUGUUGAGUGCCGGUCAGCCCAUCCAUCUUUUCAGCAAA